CAGGAUUAUAGUUUUGUAAGACUCAUCAGUGACUCUAAUUUUCACAUGUCUAUGUAAAUUACAAUCUUGAUUUUGAACCCUUUAUUGUGUAUAUUGUUUAACUGACAUUACCGCAAACAUGACACUCAUGUCGCUUAAUAUCACCUGUAUGUGUCAUGUGUGAACCGUUCUCGUGUGUCUUUGUAAAUUACCAAGCUGACUAAACCCUUUACCACAUAAAUUACAGUUAUGAGGUUUAUCGCCUGUAUGUAUUCUCAUGUGAAUUUGUAAGCUAACAAGCUGAGUAAACCGUUUACCACAUACAUCACAGUCAUGAGGUUUAUUGCCUGUAUGUGUUCUCAUGUGAAUUUGUAAAUUACUCUGCUCACUGAACCUUUUACCACAUACAUCGCAGUCAUGAGGUUUAUCACCUGUAUGUAUUCUCAUGUGAAUCUGUAAACUACUCAGCUGAUUAAACUGUUGAUCACAUAAAUCACACUCAUGAGGUUUAUCACCAGUAUGUAUUCUCAUGUGUAUCUGUAAACUACCAUGUUGAAUAAAUCUUUUACCACACAAAUUGCACUCAUGAGGUUUAUCACCUGUAUGUAUUUUCAUGUGUCUCUGUAAAGAAGCAUAUAGACUAAACUGUUUACCACAUACAUCACAGUCAUGAGGUUUAUCAUCUGAAUGUGUUCUCAUAUGUGUCUGUAAAGUACAAUAUUGACUAAAACUUUUACCACAUACAUCACAGUCAUGACGUUUAUCAUCUCCUGCACGUGUCUCUGUAUGUGUUCUCAUGUGUCUCUGUAAAUUGCUAUCCUGACCAAACCUUUUACCACAUACAUCACAGUCAUAAGGUUUAUCUCCAGUAUGUAUUAGCAUGUGUCUAGUUAGGAAACUACCUCUGGAAAAAUCUCUACCACAAACAUCACAUUUGUAAGGUUUUUUAUCAAUAUGUGUUCUAACAUGUUUUGUUAAGUCACUCUUUAGACUAAAUUCUCUCGUACAAACCUCACAUUUAUGAUGUAUAUUAUCAGUCUCUGUUCUUAUGUGUCUCGUAAUAGUAUCAUUGAUUGUGACUAAAUCCUCUACCUCGUACAUCCUAUUACUAGGCAGUAUAUGUGGGUUCUUGUAAGACUAG
This 1120-nucleotide long non-coding RNA is filed under the name Mytilus galloprovincialis (Mediterranean mussel). Lineage: Eukaryota; Metazoa; Mollusca; Bivalvia; Mytilida; Mytilidae. The record is from RNAcentral.